AAGUUAUAGUCCCCUGGCCUUCUGGCUGGGGUCUUCUAUACCACCCUUUGUUUAUUACACCUUUGUUGCUUUGGCAGGCCUGCCCUCGGGCUGCUGGCUCCGGCCGGCGAGCGCCUGCCAGAGGACCUAAAACUCUGAAUUAUAAUGCCGUCUGAGUACUAUAUAAUAGUUA
Molecule: unclassified non-coding RNA, 172 nt
Filed under: uncultured Gymnostellatospora
Lineage: Eukaryota; Fungi; Ascomycota; Leotiomycetes; Myxotrichaceae
Description: sequence contains ITS1
Source: RNAcentral